RNAcentral lists this ribosomal RNA (460 nucleotides) under uncultured bacterium. RNAcentral describes it as "SSU rRNA". It matches the Rfam family "Bacterial small subunit ribosomal RNA", at positions 26 to 518 of the family's 1533-position model. The record is from RNAcentral.
AGAAUCAACGCUGGCGGCGUGCCUAACACAUGCAAGUCGAACGAGAAAGUGGAGCAAUCCAUGAGUAAAGUGGCGACCGGGUGAGUAACACGUGACUAACCUACCUUCGAGUGGGGAAUAACCUCGGGAAAACCGGGGCUAAUACCGCAUAAUGUCUUCGGACCAAAGGAGCAAUUCGCUUGAAGAGGGGGUCGCGGCCGAUUAGCUAGUUGGUGGGGUAACGGCCCACCAAGGCAAUGAUCGGUAGCCGGCCUGAGAGGGCGCACGGCCACACUGGAACUGAAACACGGUCCAGACUCCUACGGGAGACAGCAGUGGGGAAUUUUGCGCAAUGGGGGAAACCCUGACGCAGCAACGCCGCGUGGAGGAUGAAGCCCCUUGGGGUGUAAACUCCUUUCGAUCGGGACGAUUAUGACGGUACCGGAUGAAGAGCACCGGCUAACUCUGCGCCAGCAGCCGC